This 306-nucleotide ribosomal RNA is filed under the name Bacillus altitudinis. Its description in RNAcentral is "bacterial SSU rRNA". It matches the Rfam family "Bacterial small subunit ribosomal RNA", at positions 931 to 1235 of the family's 1533-position model. The record is from RNAcentral. Lineage: Bacteria; Bacillati; Bacillota; Bacilli; Caryophanales; Bacillaceae.
UUGGUGGAGCCAUUGGGUUUAAUUCGAAGCAACGCGAAGAACCUUACCAGGUCUUGACAUCCUCUGACAACCCUAGAGAUAGGGCUUUCCCUUCGGGGACAGAGUGACAGGUGGUGCAUGGUUGUCGUCAGCUCGUGUCGUGAGAUGUUGGGUUAAGUCCCGCAACGAGCGCAACCCUUGAUCUUAGUUGCCAGCAUUCAGUUGGGCACUCUAAGGUGACUGCCGGUGACAAACCGGAGGAAGGUGGGGAUGACGUCAAAUCAUCAUGCCCCUUAUGACCUGGGCUACACACUGCCUACAAUGGAA